AUUGAACGCUGGCGGCAUGCUUUACACAUGCAAGUCGAACGGCAGCGCGGGCUUCGGCCUGGCUGCGAGUGGCGAACGGGUGAGUAAUGCACCCGAACGUGCCCAGCAGUGGGGGAUAGCCCGGCCAAAGCCGGAUUAAUACCGCAUACGACCUGAGGGUGAAAGCGGGGGACCGAAAGGCCUCGCGCUAUUGGAGCGGCCGAUGUCGGAUUAGCUAGUUGGUGGGGUAAAGGCUUACCCAGGCGACGAUCCGUAGCUGGUCUGAGAGGACGACCAGCCACACUGGACUGAGACACGGCCCAGACUCCUACGGGAGGCAGCAGUGGGGAAUGUUGGACAAUGGGGGCAACCCUGAUCCAGCGAUGGCGCGUGCGGGAAGGAGGCGUUCGGGUUGGAAACCGCUUUUGUUCGGGAAGAAAUCCUCUGGGCUAAUACGCCGGGAGAGUGACGGUACCGGAAGAAUAAGCACCGGCUAACUACGUG
Molecule: ribosomal RNA, 483 nt
Filed under: uncultured bacterium
Lineage: Bacteria
Description: partial 16S ribosomal RNA
Rfam family: Bacterial small subunit ribosomal RNA
Source: RNAcentral